AAAAAAAAACUCUACGAAAUUUGGUGAGGCCUUUGCCUUUGUUGAAUUCCUUCGAGUUUCAAUUUCAACACUUCAACGAAAGAGAAAACGUCAAAGAGAAACGUGCCUUGUUCCUCUUUUGACUUUUGGGCAUUAAGAGAUCUUAGCCCACUUAGAAUAUUCACUAAUGAUAGACAAGGCCCAUCUUGGUCCAACUUGAAGAAAACAAUUUGUCGUACCUUGACCUUUCUUUUCCUCACCCGUCGACCAUCGUAAGAUGAUUUUGCCGGCCACCAUCCAGAUGUUAUCCGGUGACUUAUAUGGCCACCACAUCUCCGUGAUUCUCUCUCACCGUGCGUCUCUUCCUCGACAGCAAAACCCAAGGCUUCUUCUUCUCCGACUCGUUCUACUCGUGACGGCGCCGUCUUCUCUUUCACGACGUCGUCGGAAACUCGAGCCACUCCGCCGGAAUCUCAGCCUUCUCCGGUGAGAAUCUCUCUGAAUUCCUUGUCGUCGAUCUCUGAACACCACAAGAGCUCAUGACGAGCUUCCUCCGCGAAACCCAGAUUUCAAAAGAAAUCUUGCAUCUUCUUCUGUCUUCUACUCUCAAUGCUUCCAGAAGGUCACACUUCAAUCUUCUUAGAUGGACAAGACACUCCGUCUUCUAUGAGAUAUAAUCUCCAAACCAUCUUUCUUCUCUAGAGCUGCACUUCCCGAAGCCAUUGCUUGAUAAAGGUGUGACCUUUUUCGACAAAACUUGCAUCUUCUUCAUAAAGCUUGAAUCUUUCUCAAGAAACUUGAAGAUUCUGGAUAAAGCUUGAGUCUUUCAGCACUAACCUGUGCUCUGAUACCACUUGUAGAGGUUUUUAGCCUCUCAAAGGCUCAAGCUUUAUCUCAUUUGUCAUCAACACCAUAUUACGGAAACAAAUCAAGUAAAGUAUCGAGAAGAGGAGGAAGAUAAAAUAGAGCAAGAUGAAGGAAGAAGAGGAGCACACAAAGGAUUUGUUAACCCGGUUCACGGCAUUAACGAGCCGCUACGUCCGGUUAGGAUCGAUAGAUCCACAACUUCACUAUGAAGAAGAAGGUAUUACAAACAAGAAGCAACAAGUGACCCGUCUAAUACCCUUCACUAGUACUUAGACUCACUCUGUACCACUUCCUGUAUAACUCAGAGAACAACAAUGACAAGCUUAUACUAAUACAUGUUUUCUCUCAUCUCUAUACCUUACUAACUCUUCUUCUUAGAUCUACAUUGUGCUAUUGCUCUCUCUCUCUACUCCCUUCUCCCUUAGCUUCUCUCAAUGAAGAUAAGCACCUAUAUAUAGAGACAGCUAACUAGGGCUUCCUUGUGCUAAAACAAACCGCAACCCUUUUGAGCACAAACAGACAAAACGGAGAGGCUCCCCUUUGUGGUCCCAAAAGUAUCCCAACCCAACUUUAACUUGACUAGAGUUAAGCCUUGAGUUGCUUUUGAUCUUCAUUUGCUUGAGAAACAAGUUCUCAUCUCCACACACACUCUGUUCGUCUUCGCUACCCUUCUCUUCCUCUACUCUACGCCACCGAUUUUAGAUCACUCUCAAUUAGGCUUCCUCCAAUCACUGACUUUUGACAGUGUUUUGCGCUUGGACAUUGGUUUUACUCUCACUGUGAUUUAUGUUUGGAUAAGAAAUCUGGAGUUUUAGCUGCUCUGUUAUGUUUUUUCUUGUUGGAUUGGCUCUAGCUUCCUCGCAGCUCGAUUAGGACAUUCCUUGACCUUAAAGGUGAGCCCAUUAAUCCAAUUAUGGUUCCCUCAUGCAUUUUAAGCUCAAUUUCUUACAUGCUUUGACUUGAAAGCCUUCUUGUGUUCUCUGCUCAGAGUGAUCUUGAUUCUAAUGUUUCUGUGGAGCUCUUGUUUUCUUUGGUAUAUAUGCUGAUGAUGAUAAUGGAACGUCAAUGUCUUGUCUCCGAACUUUAAUGAUCACUUGUCUGGAUAUAAUGUGGUCCUUCCAUGUUCAAAUGCAAUGUCUAUAUCACCUGGUUAAAACAAAGUUGCGUUUUUCUUCUUUUGCAUAGCAAAAAGUUAUAUCUUUUGUAAUCUGACUCGCUUUCUCAGCUCUUGUGUUGGAGUGGUCAGUUCCUCGGUCACGGCUUGUUUGAGAAACGAGCUCCUGCACUUUUUAAUAAUCUACUCCAAGCUUUUCUGAUGGGUCCUUUCUUCGUGUUGCUCGAGGUGUUGCAGUCUGUUUUCGGGUACGAACCAUACUCUGGAUUUAAAGCACGCGUCAACUCCAAGAUAGAGAGUGAAAUCAAAGAAUGGAGAGAAAGUAAAGAGAAGAAGAAGAAGAAGGUCACUUAAGCUCCAAUGUGGUCAUUGUGAUUCGGAAAAUUGUUCCCUUCACUUUUCUUUACACAACAAUUGUUCCUUUCAUUUAUUAUUAGGAAUACUAGAUAAUUUAAUUUCUUAGAAAUUAAAAUCAAAUUUAAGAA
Molecule: long non-coding RNA, 2445 nt
Organism: Arabidopsis lyrata subsp. lyrata
Lineage: Eukaryota; Viridiplantae; Streptophyta; Magnoliopsida; Brassicales; Brassicaceae
Exons: 3
Source: RefSeq, a predicted model, not a curated record